Molecule: ribosomal RNA, 589 nt
Filed under: uncultured Fusarium
Lineage: Eukaryota; Fungi; Ascomycota; Sordariomycetes; Hypocreales; Nectriaceae
Description: eukaryotic LSU rRNA
Rfam family: 5.8S ribosomal RNA (bases 205-358)
Source: RNAcentral
GGAAGUAAAAGUCGUAACAAGGUCUCCGUUGGUGAACCAGCGGAGGGAUCAUUACCGAGUUAUACAACUCAUCAACCCUGUGAACAUACCUAAAACGUUGCUUCGGCGGGAACAGACGGCCCUGUAACAACGGGCCGCCCCCGCCAGAGGACCCCUAACUCUGUUUUUAUAAUGUUUUUCUGAGUAAACAAGCAAAUAAAUUAAAACUUUCAACAACGGAUCUCUUGGCUCUGGCAUCGAUGAAGAACGCAGCGAAAUGCGAUAAGUAAUGUGAAUUGCAGAAUUCAGUGAAUCAUCGAAUCUUUGAACGCACAUUGCGCCCGCCAGUAUUCUGGCGGGCAUGCCUGUUCGAGCGUCAUUACAACCCUCAGGCCCCCGGGCCUGGCGUUGGGGAUCGGCGGAAGCCCCCUGUGGGCACACGCCGUCCCUCAAAUACAGUGGCGGUCCCGCCGCAGCUUCCAUUGCGUAGUAGCUAACACCUCGCAACUGGAGAGCGGCGCGGCCAUGCCGUAAAACACCCAACUUCUGAAUGUUGACCUCGAAUCAGGUAGGAAUACCCGCUGAACUUAAGCAUAUCAAUAAGCGGAGG